CACAUUUUCCUCUCCCUAUCUCUAAUUUGAGGUUCCUCUCACUCUCGUUCCUCUCUUCCUCUUUUCCUCUCUAAACCCUCCUCCAAGAACACUCCUCCCUCCGCCCCCGUGCUUUUCUCGGCUCCCCCACCACUAACCAAGCCCCCUCAAUCAAACUGCUCCAGCAAUGAGUCCAGACCUUGGAGAGAGAGGUUGACGCCACCAUCACCGCUACCGCUUGCGUUCGCUCUGAGAAACGACAAGCCGAGGCCGCUCAAAAAGUCGCUGAAUCACGUCCUCAACAGCUCACCGCCAAACUUGAAAACACCACAACUAGGUGUUUGAGUUGAACAUGGAAGAGUUGCGUGCGAAGCAAGGAGAAAUCGAGAAGCGAGACGACGACAUCAAGUUUCUCGAAGCUAUAAUUCGAAGAUUUGGAGCAAAAGGAAUUCCCAACCCUUUCGACUCCAACUUUCAUUUCAUCGGACAAGACCAAACCCUAACCCUUUCUUAUUGUAUGAUAUGAGAUUGAGAUGUAGUUUUCAUGUUAAUUUUUAAAUUCUUUCGGUGGUUUAGGUUAGAUUGAGUUUCUUGAGUUUUAAAUCGGAGAGAUGAACCACCACCACAACAAUAGAGCGAGGUACCCUCCCGGAAUGGGGCUUGGGCGAUUGAGAUGUAGUUUUCUCUCGUCUUCAUCUUCAUCUUCAGGGCGUUUCUUCUUCUUCUCGUUUCUACCUUCACAUUUAGUUUUUCAGUAAUCUGCGAAAGAAGGACUCAUCCUUUGAUAUGGUCUCCGACAAGAGCUGGUGGAAGAACUAUGAAUGAGCUUGACUUCCGGAACCGAAGAGUGUUGGGAAAGGAACUUCUCCAAAUUCCUUCUCAGUUAAAUAAUUUUGCAAGUAUCUCAGUAUUUGAAUUUGUUGUGGGACACGGAGAGUUAUGGUCUGCACAGAUGUUGUCUUUAGUAAUUAAGAAACAAGGGAUUGACUGCAAAUGGAUGAAUGCGAGGGAAGUUCUUAUUGUAAAACCUACUCGUUCUGAUCGAGUUGAUCCAGAUUACUUGGAAUAUGAACGAAGACUUGAGAAGUGGUACUCUCUAAAUCCAUAUGAUGUAAUCGUUGCCACAGGAUUUAUUGCAAGCACACCUCAGAAUAUUCCUACUACUCUCAAGAGAGAUGGAAGUGACUUUUCGGUAGCUAUUAUGUGUGCUGGCUCGCCAGGUCACAAUUUGGAUAGAUAUAGACGGCAUGUAUAGUGCAGAUCCCAAAAAAGAUCUUUAAUGAUUCAUCUCCCAUGAAAGAUGCAGACAUUGAAGACAUUAGAUGAAACUCGGCUUCUUUUAUUUUAAGUGUUAGUAGAAACUUAGCUACAUCUCAAUAGUGUAUGUACAUUAAUGUAAUAUUUAGAUUUAAUAUAUAAUUUCAUGUAUAAAUGAUGUAUUAAAUAUUAUUAUACAAUUUAAUGUUUGAAAAAAUUCUAUUUUGUUAGUUC
Vigna angularis (adzuki bean) is the source of this 1470-nucleotide long non-coding RNA. RefSeq lists it as uncharacterized. Lineage: Eukaryota; Viridiplantae; Streptophyta; Magnoliopsida; Fabales; Fabaceae. The record is from RefSeq and is a predicted model, not a curated record. The transcript has 7 exons.